CCGAGUUUACAACUCCCAAACCCAAUGUGAACCAUACCAAACUGUUGCCUCGGCGGGGUCACGCCCCGGGUGCGUCGCAGCCCCGGAACCAGGCGCCCGCCGGAGGGACCAACCAAACUCUUUCUGUAGUCCCCUCGCGGACGUUAUUUCUUACAUCUCUGAGCAAAAAUUCAAAAUGAAUCA
This 183-nucleotide unclassified non-coding RNA is filed under the name soil metagenome. RNAcentral's name for it is "partial internal transcribed spacer 1". The record is from RNAcentral.